RNAcentral lists this unclassified non-coding RNA (201 nucleotides) under Borreliella garinii. RNAcentral describes it as "partial 5S-23S ribosomal RNA intergenic spacer". Lineage: Bacteria; Pseudomonadati; Spirochaetota; Spirochaetia; Spirochaetales; Borreliaceae. The record is from RNAcentral.
GAGAGUAGGUUAUUGCCAGGGUUUUUAUUUUAUACUUUAAACAUUGAUUUUAUUUUUUAUGUUUUUAGAUGUUCAUGUUUUUGAAUGUUUUAUUCGAAUAAUAUAAAAAAUAAAAUAUAUAUUGACAUGGAUUAAACAAAGAUAUAUAUUAUUCUAUGUUGUAUAAACAAAUUGGCAAAAUAGAGAUGGAAGAUAAAAAUA